AGAGUUUGAUCCUGGCUCAGGAUGAACGCUGGCGGCGUGCUUAACACAUGCAAGUCGAACGAUCCUUCGGGAUAGUGGCGGACGGGUGAGUAACGCGUGGGAAUCUGCCCUCAGGAGGGGGAUAACGGCUGGAAACGGCCGCUAAUACCCCAUAUGCCGAGAGGUGAAACGAAUUUCGCCUGAGGAUGAGCCCGCGUCUGAUUAGCUAGUUGGUGGGGUAAAGGCCCACCAAGGCGACGAUCAGUAGCUGGUCUGAGAGGAUGAUCAGCCACACUGGGACUGAGACACGGCCCAGACUCCUACGGGAGGCAGCAGUGGGGAAUUUUCCGCAAUGGGCGAAAGCCUGACGGAGCAACGCCGCGUGAGGGAUGAAGGCCUCUGGGCUGUAAACCUCUUUUCUCAAGGAAGAAGACCUGACGGUACUUGAGGAAUAAGCCACGGCUAAUUCCGUGCCAGCAGCCGCGGUAAUACGGGAGUGGCAAGCGUUAUCCGGAAUUAUUGGGCGUAAAGCGUCCGCAGGCGGCCUUGUAAGUCUGUUGUUAAAGCGUGGAGCUUAACUCCAUUUAAGCAAUGGAAACUACAAGGCUGGAGUGUGGUAGGGGCAGAGGGAAUUCCCGGUGUAGCGGUGAAAUGCGUAGAUAUCGGGAAGAACACCAGUGGCGAAGGCGCUCUGCUGGGCCAUAACUGACGCUCAUGGACGAAAGCCAGGGGAGCGAAAGGGAUUAGAUACCCCUGUAGUCCUGGCCGUAAACGAUGAACACUAGGUGUCGGGGGAAUCGACCCCCUCGGUGUCGUAGCCAACGCGUUAAGUGUUCCGCCUGGGGAGUACGCACGCAAGUGUGAAACUCAAAGGAAUUGACGGGGGCCCGCACAAGCGGUGGAGUAUGUGGUUUAAUUCGAUGCAACGCGAAGAACCUUACCAGGGUUUGACAUCCUGCGAACCCCUGAGAAAUCGGGGGGUGCCUUCGGGAGCGCAGAGACAGGUGGUGCAUGGCUGUCGUCAGCUCGUGUCGUGAGAUGUUGGGUUAAGUCCCGCAACGAGCGCAACCCACGUCUUUAGUUGCCAGCAUUCAGUUGGGCACUCUAGAGAGACCGCCGGUGAUAAACCGGAGGAAGGUGUGGAUGACGUCAAGUCAUCAUGCCCCUUACAUCCUGGGCUACACACGUACUACAAUGCUACGGACAAAGGGCAGCAAGCUCGCGAGAGUUAGCAAAUCCCAUAAACCGUGGCUCAGUUCAGAUCGUAGGCUGCAACUCGCCUACGUGAAGGAGGAAUCGCUAGUAAUCGCAGGUCAGCAUACUGCGGUGAAUACGUUCCCGGGCCUUGUACACACCGCCCGUCACACCAUGGAAGUUGGCCAUGCCCGAAGUCGUUACUCCAACCCUUGUGGAGGAGGACGCCGAAGGUGGGGCUGAUGACUGGGGUGAAGUCGAAACAAGGUA
Molecule: ribosomal RNA, 1443 nt
Filed under: metagenome
Description: bacterial SSU rRNA
Rfam family: Bacterial small subunit ribosomal RNA
Source: RNAcentral